AACGCACCUUGCGCUCCUUGGUAUUCCGAGGAGCAUGCCUGUUUGAGUGUCAUUAAAUUCUCAACUUCACUGAUUUGUUUUGAGUGAAGCUUGGACUUGGAGCAUGCUGGCCCCUUUGGGUCGGCUUCUCUUUAAAUUCAUUGGCGGAGUCUUCUUUGUCCUUCCGGCAUCGGCGUGAUAAUUGUGUUGCGUGUUUGCCGAGGGUCUCAGUCCGCUUACAAUGGUCUUCGGACAACUUAUCAAACCUUGACCUCAAAUCAGGUAGGACUACCCGCUGAACUUAA
This 284-nucleotide unclassified non-coding RNA is filed under the name uncultured fungus. Its description in RNAcentral is "sequence contains ITS2". The stretch from base 1 to 52 matches the Rfam family "5.8S ribosomal RNA", at positions 103 to 154 of the family's 154-position model. Lineage: Eukaryota; Fungi. The record is from RNAcentral.